ACUAGGGAGGCUGCAGUGAGGAAUAUUGGUCAAUGGGCGGAAGCCUGAACCAGCCAAGUCGCGUGAGGGAUUAAGGCCCUGCGGGUCGUAAACCUCUUUUGCCGGGGAGCAGAGGUCCGGACGUGUCCGGGCCGGGAGAGUACCCGGAGAAAAAGCAUCGGCUAACUCCGUGCCAGCAGCCGCGGUAAUACGGAGGAUGCGAGCGUUAUCCGGAUUUAUUGGGUUUAAAGGGUGCGUAGGCGGGCAUUUAAGCCGGCGGUCAAAUGUCGGGGCUCAACCCCGGCCUGCCGUCGGAACUGGGUGCCUUGAGUGGGCGAGAAGUAUGCGGAAUGCGUGGUGUAGCGGUGAAAUGCAUAGAUAUCACGCAGAACCCCGAUUGCGAAGGCAGCAUACCGGCGCCCUACUGACGCUGAGGCACGAAAGUGCGGGUAUCGAACAGGAUUAGAUACCCUUGUAGUC
This 459-nucleotide ribosomal RNA is filed under the name uncultured bacterium. RNAcentral describes it as "partial 16S ribosomal RNA". It matches the Rfam family "Bacterial small subunit ribosomal RNA", at positions 338 to 795 of the family's 1533-position model. The record is from RNAcentral.